Molecule: ribosomal RNA, 253 nt
Filed under: uncultured bacterium
Lineage: Bacteria
Description: partial 16S ribosomal RNA
Rfam family: Bacterial small subunit ribosomal RNA
Source: RNAcentral
UACGUAGGGUGCAAGCGUUAAUCGGAAUUACUGGGCGUAAAGCGUGCGCAGGCGGUUAUGUAAGACAGAUGUGAAAUGCCCGGGCUUAACCUGGGAACUGCAUUUGUGACUGCAUGGCUAGAGUUUGGCAGAGGGGGGUAGAAUUCCACGUGUAGCAGUGAAAUGCGUAGAUAUGUGGAGGAACACCAGUGGCGAAGGCGAGUCCCUGGACAACACCUGACACUGAGGCACGAAAGCUAGGGGAGCAAACAGG